UACGUAGGUGGCAAGCGUUGUCCGGAAUUACUGGGUGUAAAGGGAGCGCAGGCGGGAGGCCAAGUCAGCUGUGAAAACUACGGGCUUAACUUGUAGACUGCAGUUGAAACUGGUUUUCUUGAGUGAAGUAGAGGUUGGCGGAAUUCCGAGUGUAGCGGUGAAAUGCGUAGAUAUUCGGAGGAACACCGGUGGCGAAGGCGGCCAACUGGGCUUUAACUGACGCUGAGGCUCGAAAGUGUGGGGAGCAAACAGG
This 253-nucleotide ribosomal RNA is filed under the name uncultured bacterium. RNAcentral's name for it is "partial 16S ribosomal RNA". It matches the Rfam family "Bacterial small subunit ribosomal RNA", at positions 524 to 776 of the family's 1533-position model. The record is from RNAcentral.